UGUGGAUUGGAUGAUGGAAAAACCAGCAAGCUACGGCUUCAAAGCUUACCUUAUUUAGAAAAGGAGAAAGGGGUUUUUUGUAGAUGUUGAAGUUGAGUAAGGGGGCGGAGCUUAAAGAGUAAAGCGAUCCAUCCUAGCCUAGCAAUGUUUUUCAGUAGCAAGCUAUGGUAUAACAACCCCCUAACCUAGGUUAGGGCAAAAACUCUAAAAUCCAAAACGUUGGUUAGGGUUUCUCUCCUUUUAGGAGAGCUACUUCAUUCCAAACCUUUCUCUAAUAAUAAGGUAAGCUUUCAAGCCACCGCCCUUUAAAGGAGAGGGCGCAGUGAACUGUAAUUGUGAAAAGAUUGGAAGAUCUAGCCAAAGAAGGUGAUAGCCCUAUAGAUUCGUUCCCAUGGUUCAUUCCUUCCCAGUAAAAUGCGGCGUGUUUGAAUUCUGAUCGCUUUUACAAGAGAAAGGGGGACCACCCUCUAAGCCUAAGUAUUCCUCAAUGACCGAUAGCGUACAAGUAUUGUGAGGGAAAAUUGAAAAGAACCCUUAGAGCCUUUACGUUAUGUAAAGCGCACUCACUCUAACAGUGUACCUUUUGCAUGAUGGGUCAAUGAGGAAAUGGGAACAGUAGCUUAAGCCCUUAGGUGUAGGCGCUUUCCAGAGGUGGAAUCUUCUAGUUCUUCCUAUUUGACCCAAAACCGAUCGAUCUAUCCAUGAGCAGGUUGAAGAGAGCUCCAACAGGCCUUGGAGGACCGAACCCACGUAUGUGGCAAAAUACGGGGAUGACUUGUGGCUAGGGGUGAAAGGACAACCAAGAUUGGAUAUAGCUGGUUUUCCACAAAAUCUAUUUCAGUAGAGCGUAUAAUGUCGAUGGCCCGAGGUAUAGCACUCAAUGGGAUAGGGUGGCCUCAUUUUGCCUUACCAACCCCCGGGAAACUUCGAAUACAGGCCUAGAUCGUUUGUACAGAUAAACUUUUUGUUUGCUAAGAUCCAAAGUUGAGAGGGAAACAACCCAGAUCGUACGCUAAGGUCCCUAAGCAAUCACUUAGUGAAAAAGAAAGUGAUCGAGCGAUGACAACUAGGAGGUGGGCUUGGAAGAAGCCAUUCUUUGAAAAAAGUGCAAUAGCUCACUUGUCUAGCUCCAUGGCACCAAAAAUGUAUCAGGGGUCAAGUGAUUCACCGAAGCGACGAGACCUUGUAAGUUGCUUUCACAAAUGUCAGUAGCGGAAUGUUCUGUCAAUUGGGGAAGGUUUUUGGUGACAAGACCCAGAGAUAUCAAAAGUGAGAAUGCUGACAUGAGUAAUAAAAAAUACUGUUAAAAACAUGAUCGCCUUCUAGUGGAAGGUUUUUUUCCUUCAGUCAAUCUACGCAGAGUGAAUCGGUCCCUAAGGAAUCCCCGAAAAGGCCUAGUCCGAUAGGUACACGAAAGUGACAAAGUUGCUUUGACUACAGAACCAUGCCUGUCUAUUGGAGCAAAUUGGAUGAUCGGGACAAGGGCUGCCCCCUCUUCCCCUCACUCUCUUUUCCCUAAUAUGAACCUUGAGUCAUCAAAGCCUUUCUGACUCGGCCUGGCCCGGUCGCCCUACGCAACUAGCGCUUCAUAAGGUGAAAGUAUCAGUCGUAGUUUGGCGACCUAUCUUCAGUAGUGUCCUUUAGUCUUUUGAUUAGAGUAGGGGUCGCGAGAGAGCAGAGCGUACCGCCCUGCCAAAGUCACUAGUCAUUUAUAGUCGCGACUGUUGUCAUAGUCAACAGGGUUGAAACUUCCAAGAAAAAACUUCGAAUUAGGAGGGCGAUCCUCCCAGUGAACUGACCGUACCCCAAACCGACACAGGUGAACAAGUAGAGUAUACUAGGGCGCUUGAGAGAACCAUGUCAAAGGAACUCAGCAAAUUGACCCUGUAACUUCGGGAGAAGGGGUGCUCUCCUAUCUUUUGAUUAGGACAGCGGCACAUACCAGGGGGUAGCGACUGUUUAUUAAAAACACAGGACUAUGCUAAGUGGUAACACGAUGUAUAGAGUCUAACACCUGCCUGGUGCUGGAAGGUCAGAAGGAGAAGUGUUAUAAGCUUUAAAUGGAAGCCCCGAUAAACGGUGGCAGUAACUCUAACUGUCCUAAGGUAGCGAAAUUCCUUGUCACAUAAGUAGUGACCUGCACGAAUGGUGUAACGAUUACCCCACUGUCUCCGACAUGGACCCGAUGAAAUUGAAUUCACCAUGAAGAUGUGGAGUACCAACGGCUAGACGGUAAGACCCCGUGCACCUUAACUAUAGCUUCGUAGUGACAACCUUAAUCGAAUAUGUAGGAUAGGUGGGAGGUGGUGACACACAAUGACCAAUCCUAAAAGACCACUCUUUCAUCUUAGGAUGCCUAACCACCACACCGAUCAUUCGGGGGGAGGCAGGACACUGCGAGGUGGGUAGUUUAUCUGGGGCGGAUGCCUCCUAAAGAGUAACGGAGGUGUGCGAAGGUAGGCUCAAGCUAAGAUUCUGCUCGUAAGCAUAAUGGUAUAAGCCUUCCUAACUGUGAGACCAACUGGUCGAACAGAGACGAAAGUCGGCCAUAGUAAUCUGGGAGUCCCAUGCGAAAGGGCUCUCACUCAACGGAUCAAAGGUACGGUUGGGAUAAUAGGAUGAUAACUCCCAAAAGCUCUUAUUGACGAAGUCGUUUGGUACCUUGAUGUCGACUCAUCACAUCCUGGGGUUGAAGAAGGUCACAAAGGUUCAGUUGUUUGCCGAUUCAAGUGGUACCUGAGUUAGGUUUAGAACGUCGUGAGACAGUUCGGUUCCUAUUUUCCAUUAGUGUUAAAGGGAGAACUAUGAGGAGCCAACCCUUGUACGAGAGGACUGGGUUGGGAUAACCUAUGGUGUACUGGUAGUUAUGCCAAUAGCAGCGCCGGGCAGCUAAGUUGGUACGGAAGAACUGCUGCACCGUGGGAAAUACUUCUCUAUUCAAGUUCUCAGAUGAGGUUUUUGAACAGAACUUCGAUAGGCGAGAGGUGUAAGCACCGCGAGGUAUAAAGCGAUCUCGUACUAAACGAAACUACUUUCACUU
This 3040-nucleotide ribosomal RNA is filed under the name Capsicum annuum. Its description in RNAcentral is "bacterial LSU rRNA". It matches the Rfam family "Bacterial large subunit ribosomal RNA". Lineage: Eukaryota; Viridiplantae; Streptophyta; Magnoliopsida; Solanales; Solanaceae. The record is from RNAcentral.